UACGUAGGUGGCAAGCGUUGUCCGGAUUUACUGGGUGUAAAGGGCGUGCAGCCGGGCUGACAAGUCAGAUGUGAAAUCCCGCGGCUCAACCGCGGAACUGCAUUUGAAACUGUCAGUCUUGAGUACCGGAGAGGUCAUCGGAAUUCCUUGUGUAGCGGUGAGAUGCGUAGAUAUAAGGAAGAACACCAGUGGCGAAGGCGGAUGACUGGACGGCAACUGACGGUGAGGCGCGAAAGCGUGGGGAGCAAACAGG
This 253-nucleotide ribosomal RNA is filed under the name uncultured bacterium. RNAcentral's name for it is "partial 16S ribosomal RNA". It matches the Rfam family "Bacterial small subunit ribosomal RNA", at positions 524 to 776 of the family's 1533-position model. The record is from RNAcentral.